GCCUGUGUGGCUCAGUCGGUUGAGCAUCUGACUUCAGCUCAGAUUAUGAUCUCGUGGUUCACAAGUUCGAGCCCCGCCUCAGGCU
Molecule: transfer RNA, 85 nt
Filed under: Felis catus (domestic cat)
Lineage: Eukaryota; Metazoa; Chordata; Mammalia; Carnivora; Felidae
Also listed under: 5 other names
Rfam family: tRNA
About the family: Transfer RNA (tRNA) molecules are approximately 80 nucleotides in length. Their secondary structure includes four short double-helical elements and three loops (D, anti-codon, and T loops).
Source: Rfam by way of RNAcentral